AUAUUUAUUAACAUCAAAUAAAUAAUAUAUUAAUAAUUUUAUCAUAAUUUUAAGUAUCAAUGAUGAUGGAUAGUAACUAUUUAGAUGAAUUAAUUAUCAUUGCUCGAGGUCCUAAUAAUAUUGUCAACAAAUAUAAUGGUUUCAUCAUUAAUGAAUUCAAAUUUCAUACAAAAGAAUAUGAAAUUUUUAAAAAAAAUCCAGAAUAGUGGAGUUAUGAUGGAAGC
This 224-nucleotide long non-coding RNA is filed under the name Elaeis guineensis (African oil palm). Its description in RNAcentral is "long non-coding RNA (EGUI_LNC009713)". Lineage: Eukaryota; Viridiplantae; Streptophyta; Magnoliopsida; Arecales; Arecaceae. The record is from RNAcentral.